AUACGUAGGGGGCGAGCGUUGUCCGGAAUGAUUGGGCGUAAAGGGCGUGUAGGCGGCCUGUUAAGUCUGAAGUGAAAGUCCUGUUUUCAAGAUGGGAAUUGCUUUGGAUACUGGCGGGGCUGGAAGCAGGGGAGGGUAUCGGCAAUUUCCGGGUAGCGGGGGAACUGGUAGAGAUCGGGAGGAACGCCAGUGGAGUAGACGGGUAACUGGUCUGCAACUGACGCUGAGGCGCGAAAGUGUGGGGAGCAAACAGGAUGAGAUACCCUGGUAGUCCUAACUGUAAACGAUGGAUGCUAGGUGUAGGGGGUAGCGACCCUUUCUGUGCCGCAGUAAACACAAUAAGCAUUACGCCUGGGUAGUACGGCCGCAAGGUUGAUGCUCAAAUGAAUUGACGGGG
RNAcentral lists this ribosomal RNA (397 nucleotides) under uncultured bacterium. RNAcentral's name for it is "partial 16S ribosomal RNA". It matches the Rfam family "Bacterial small subunit ribosomal RNA", at positions 523 to 918 of the family's 1533-position model. The record is from RNAcentral.